UGAGUAAUAUAUAGGUAAUAUGCCUCUUACUAAGGGAUAAUUGAUGGAAACGUCUUGUAAUACCUUAUAUACCUUUUGAACAUAAGUUCGUAAAGGGAAAGAUUUAUCGGUAAGAGAUUAGCCUGUACGGUAUCAGAUAGUUGGUGGGGUAAUGGCCUACCAAGUCUAUGACACCUAACUGGUUUGAGAGGAUGAUCAGUCACACUGGAACUGAGACACGGUCCAGACUCC
This 231-nucleotide ribosomal RNA is filed under the name uncultured bacterium. Its description in RNAcentral is "partial 16S ribosomal RNA". It matches the Rfam family "Bacterial small subunit ribosomal RNA", at positions 107 to 339 of the family's 1533-position model. The record is from RNAcentral.